This 228-nucleotide long non-coding RNA is filed under the name Lathyrus oleraceus (garden pea). Its description in RNAcentral is "Pisum sativum (pea) long non-coding RNA (PSAT_LNC014614)". The record is from RNAcentral. Lineage: Eukaryota; Viridiplantae; Streptophyta; Magnoliopsida; Fabales; Fabaceae.
UGAUAAUCAUUUUCAGAUGAUUUAAUGUUAUGCUACUAUCGUGGUUCCAUGUUGGUGUUAUGCAAAUUGUUUUUUUUUCUUCUUCUUCUCUUCCUAUUUUUGUAGAUUACUGAGAGAGAAGAAGUUUGUUUACUUGCGUUGCCACAUGUCAUUUUUUUAGUGGAAGUUCUUUAAUUUUUAAAAUUAUUUUUUGGCUUACCAAAAUGAAGCAAAGUAAGGUGUUGUUCC